Molecule: ribosomal RNA, 2699 nt
Filed under: Clostridioides difficile
Lineage: Bacteria; Bacillati; Bacillota; Clostridia; Peptostreptococcales; Peptostreptococcaceae
Description: bacterial LSU rRNA
Rfam family: Bacterial large subunit ribosomal RNA
Source: RNAcentral
UCAAGUUAUUAAGGGUGCAGGGCGGAUGCCUUGGCACUAGGAGCCGAUGAAGGACGUGAUAAGCUGCGAUAAGCUUCGGGGAGUUGCACGUAAACUUUGAUCCGAAGAUUUCCGAAUGAGGAAACUCACUUAGAGUAAUGUCUAAGUAUCAUUAAGUGAAUACAUAGCUUAAUGAGGGGAACUCAGGGAACUGAAACAUCUAAGUACCUGAAGGAAGAGAAAGAAAUUCGAUUCCGUAAGUAGCGGCGAGCGAACGCGGAUUAGCCCAAACUAAUAAAGUUUUCUUUAUUGGGGUUGCGGACAUAUCAUAACGAAGAGGUAUCGUAAUUGAAGAGGUUUGGAAAGACCCACCACAGAAGGUAAUAGUCCUGUAUGUUAAACGAGAAGACUUUAGAUAUGAUCCAGAGUACCACGGGACACGUGAAACCCUGUGGGAAGCAGGAGGGACCACCCUCCAAGGCUAAAUACUACCUAGUGACCGAUAGCGUAUAGUACCGUGAGGGAAAGGUGAAAAGAACCCCGGGAGGGGAGUGAAAUAGAACCUGAAACCCUGCACUUACAAGCUGUGGAAGCACAUUUCUUGUGUGACCGCGUACUUUUUGUAGAACGGGCCAACGAGUUACGUUAAGUAGCAAGGUUAAGCACUUAAGGUGCGGAGCCGUAGCGAAAGCGAGUUUUAACUGAGCGUUCAGUUACUUGACGUAGACCCGAAACCGGGCGACCUACCCAUGAGCAGGAUGAAGCGAAAGUAAAAUUUCGUGGAGGUCCGAACCCACGAGCGUUGAAAAGCUCGGGGAUGACUUGUGGGUAGCGGUGAAAUUCCAAUCGAGCCCGGAGAUAGCUGGUUCUCCCCGAAAUAGCUUUAGGGCUAGCCUCAAGGUGAGAGAUACGGAGGUAGAGCACUGAAUGUCCUAGGGGGUAUUGCACCUACCGAAGACUAUCAAACUCCGAAUGCCGUCAUCUUAUACUUGGGAGUCAGACUGUGGGUGAUAAGAUUCAUAGUCGAAAGGGCAACAGCCCAGAUCGUCAGCUAAGGUCCCUAAAUGUAAGUUAAGUGGUAAAGGAUGUGGGAUUGCACAGACAACCAGGAUGUUGGCUUAGAAGCAGCCACUCAUUCAAAGAGUGCGUAAUAGCUCACUGGUCGAGUGAUCCUGCGCCGAAGAUUUCCGGGGCUAAAACUUACUACCGAAGCUACGGCAUCAGUAAUGAUGGGUAGGGGAGCUUCCCAUACGGGUUGAAGCAUGACCGUAAGGACAUGUGGACAGUAUGGGAGUGAGAAUGUUGGCAUGAGUAGCGAGAUGUGGGUGAGAAUCCCACAGGCCGUAAACCCAAGGUUUCCAGGGGAAGGUUCGUCCGCCCUGGGUUAGUCGGGACCUAAGCUGAGGCCGAAAGGCGUAGGUGAUGGACAACAGGUUGAUAUUCCUGUACUACCGAUAACCGUUUGAGAGAAGGGAUGACACAGUAGGAUAAGCUAAGCACACUGUUGGUUAUGUGUGCCCAAGCAUUGAGGCAGUCAAAGUAGGCAAAUCCGCUUUGAUAAUGCUGGGAUGUGAUGGGGAGCGAAAUUUAGUAGCGAAGUAGCUGAUUUCACACUGUCAAGAAAAGUCUCUAUCGAGGUUAAAGGUACCCGUACCGCAAACCGACACAGGUGGGUGAGGAGAGUAUCCUAAGGCCAGCGAGAGAACUGUUGUUAAGGAACUCGGCAAAAUGACCCCGUAACUUAGGGAUAAGGGGUGCCACCAUCAGGUGGCCGCAGAGAAUAGGCCCAAGCGACUGUUUACCAAAAACAUAGGUUUCUGCUAAGUCGCAAGACGAUGUAUAGGAGCUGACGCCUGCCCGGUGCUGGAAGGUUAAGGGGAUCUGUUAGAGCAAUCGAAGCAGUGAACUUAAGCCCCAGUAAACGGCGGCCGUAACUAUAACGGUCCUAAGGUAGCGAAAUUCCUUGUCGGGUAAGUUCCGACCCGCACGAAAGGCGUAACGAUUUGGGCACUGUCUCAACAACAGACUCGGUGAAAUUGUAAUUCCGGUGAAGAUGCCGGAUACCUGCGACAGGACGGAAAGACCCCAUGGAGCUUUACUGUAGCUUGACAUUGGGUCUUGGUACUACAUGUACAGGAUAGGUGGGAGGCUUUGAAACCAGGACGCCAGUUUUGGCGGAGCCAUCCUUGGGAUACCACCCUUGUAGUACUGGGACUCUAACCAUAGGCCAUGAAUCUGGUCUUGGGACACUGUCAGGUGGGCAGUUUGACUGGGGCGGUCGCCUCCCAAAAGGUAACGGAGGCGCUCAAAGGUUCUCUCAGUACGGUCGGAAAUCGUACGUAGAGUGUAAAGGCAAAAGAGAGCUUGAUUGCAAGACAUACAGGUCGAGCAAGGAUGAAAAUCGGACUUAGUGAUCCGGUGGUUCUGCGUGGAAGGGCCAUCGCUCAACGGAUAAAAGCUACCCUGGGGAUAACAGGCUUAUCUCCCCCAAGAGUCCACAUCGACGGGGAGGUUUGGCACCUCGAUGUCGGCUCAUCACAUCCUGGGGCUGUAGUAGGUCCCAAGGGUUGGGCUGUUCGCCCAUUAAAGUGGUACGCGAGCUGGGUUCAGAACGUCGUGAGACAGUUCGGUCCCUAUCCGUCGCAGGCGUAGGAAAUUUGAGAAGACCUGUCCUUAGUACGAGAGGACCGGGAUGGACGUACCUCUGGUGUACCAGUUGU